Long non-coding RNA from Zonotrichia albicollis (white-throated sparrow), 1391 nucleotides. RefSeq lists it as uncharacterized. The record is from RefSeq and is a predicted model, not a curated record. NCBI's taxonomy places the organism in Eukaryota, Metazoa, Chordata, Aves, Passeriformes, Passerellidae.
GCAACGUGAAUGUCAGUGAAGCAGGAAAGAGCUCUAGUCCUGCUGCAGCAUGGUGUGACUGCCACCCCGGUUUCUGUGCUCAGCCUGAGCCGGGCUGCCUCCUGCCCACUGGGUACCAGGGAUGUGCUCCUGCACCAGUGAUCAGCAACUGCUCUCCUGGCUGCUCCUUGUGGGAAAGCAAACAAACAAGCUUCUGUCUGAUGUCUGUCUGUUUCCUCUGGAGUCCUGCCGAGACAAAGUGGGUUGUGAGGAUCCUCAUUGCAGCAGGGAGGAACUCCACAAGCAAGGUGCCUGUCCCUACCUGCUGAACAAGAAGCUGUGACUGAUUGCUUUUAGCCUCUCUUAAGCUUGUCUUCACAAACAUGAUGACACAUUCUUGCUUGAAGCCAGGCCCCCAAGAUUCAGCAGGAGCUGAGGCUGGAAUGUAAGUCCAAGUUAAUGAAGCAGCCUCAAAGUUGAGGAGGAAGAGAAUAAACUGCAGCUCUGAGGCACAGACCAUUGGAGAUUCCUCUUUCAAACCCUGCCUUUGCCACUCACUUGAGUUAUUUGAUUUGGGAACAAGAUAAGAAUUCACAAUAUCUGAUUUGUAGAAAUAACCCAGAGGAAGGAAAAUCAGUCAGAAAUACUAAUUUCAGGUAUAAAUUUUGUCUCUCAGUUUUCUAAAAAUCUUUCUCGUGUCUAAUAGCAUUAAACAAAUACAAAGUACAGAUUUUGGGGAAGUUGUGCACUGACUGACAAAUGCAUCUCCAAAUAGCCCACAGUUCAGCACUUCUUUUUCUGUCAAUACUCCGUGACCAGGAAAGGUUUGGAGCAUAAUUCUCUCCCAGUAAUCUAUCUUCUCCCUUUCUCUCUCUCCCUGUUUUUUUUUUUUCCUAGUAAGAAAUAGACCUGGAAAUUCAUUGCUGAUUUCCCAGGAGUGUUAUUCAUGCCAGUUUAUUUAUGUAUUUAUUAUUCAAGUGCAAACUAUUGCAGUUCCUUGUGGUAAACUGCAAAUCAAGCUGAUAGAGACAGAGGGCUGGCUGUCACACCAAGUGCUGAUGCUGUGGCUGCUACUGCCCCUAAGUGAUGAGGUGUGAGGACAAUUCAGCCUCCUUGGUGCUCAGGUCUGCCCAGGCCUUGGCUACAGAUGGAAAAGAACAGUGUGCCUUCACCAGGAUUUAAUUGUCUUCAGCAGGACAUUUAAUACAAUUAUGUUUUAACAUGUGAGCAUAGUAGUUUAUUGUGUUUAAGUGCUGGAACUGCAGCUAGGAGAAAUCUAUACUAAGGCUGAUAAGAAAGGGACAACUUUGACUUGGAAUGUGGUCAAUUGCAAAAAUAAAAGAUCUCUCUAAUGUAGCACUUGUUUCUUGGCUUCUUUGUUCUUAUUCCUGAUUUUUCAUGACCAUUUCUCA